RNAcentral lists this ribosomal RNA (547 nucleotides) under uncultured Glomeromycotina. RNAcentral describes it as "SSU rRNA". It matches the Rfam family "Eukaryotic small subunit ribosomal RNA", at positions 548 to 1098 of the family's 1831-position model. Lineage: Eukaryota; Fungi; Glomeromycota. The record is from RNAcentral.
UUGGAGGGCAAGUCUGGUGCCAGCAGCCGCGGUAAUUCCAGCUCCAAUAGCGUAUAUUAAAGUUGUUGCAGUUAAAAAGCUCGUAGUUGAAUUUCGAGACCGGUUUACUGGUCGUGCUUUUGUACGUACUGGUAUUAUUGGUUUCUCCUUUCUGACGAAUCUUAAUGCCAUUAAUUUGGUGUUUUGGGGAAUCAGGACUGUUACUUUGAAAAAAUUAGAGUGUUUAAAGCAGGCUCACGCUUGAAUACAUUAGCAUGGAAUAACGAAAUAGGACGUUUGAUUUUAUUUUGUUGGUUUCUAGGAUCGACGUAAUGAUUAAUAGGGAUAGUUGGGGGCAUUAGUAUUCAAUUGUCAGAGGUGAAAUUCUUGGAUUUAUUGAAGACUAACUACUGCGAAAGCAUUUGCCAAGGAUGUUUUCAUUAAUCAAGAACGAAAGUUAGGGGAUCGAAGACGAUCAGAUACCGUCGUAGUCUUAACCAUAAACUAUGCCGACUAGGGAUCGGACGAUGUUAAAUUUUAUUGACUCGUUCGGCGCCUUACGGGAAAC